Molecule: ribosomal RNA, 471 nt
Filed under: Triticum aestivum (bread wheat)
Lineage: Eukaryota; Viridiplantae; Streptophyta; Magnoliopsida; Poales; Poaceae
Description: partial small subunit ribosomal RNA
Source: RNAcentral
AUGCCGCUACGUGUCGGCGCCGCGAUCCAGCGCUCCAGGGCGGCGGCCAAGGGGCGGCGGCAGGCGGCGGCGGCGGCGGCGGCGGCCAAGGAGCGGGGCCUGCCCUUCUUCCACAGGCAGGCGGCGGCGGCGGCGGGCAAGGGGUGUCAACUGCCCACGCCCAGGCUUCUCGUCCGACCGGAGUUCGGGAUACGCCUGGCUCUUAUCCGUUCACACAAGGGCGUGGAAGGGAGGUACGAGGUCCUGGCAGCGCAGCAUCGCCUGAUGAAGCUCGACGACUAUGGUAGAUUCAGACUGGUCCAGGCUUCCAAAUUUGUCGAGGCGAAACCCAACGACCCUACCUGGUUAUACUGUCAAAGGAUUAGAAGAUUUGAAGCCUGCCUCGACUUCAAGUUCUCACUUUUUUCCAUGGCUUCCUUCCCGCUCGUUUACUGGUGCUGUCACGACAAGGACAACAAGACAGUCGCUUAG